UACGUAGGUGGCAAGCGUUGUCCGGAAUUAUUGGGCGUAAGCGCGCGCAGGCGGCCUCUUAAGUCUGAUGUGAAAGCCCCCCGGCUCAACCGGGGAGGGCCAUUGGGAAACUGGGAGGCUUGAGUAUAGGAGAGAAGAGUGGAAUUCCACGUGUAGCGGUGAAAUGCGUAGAGAUGUGGAGGAACACCAGUGGCGAAGGCGACUCUUUGGCCUAUAACUGACGCUGAGGCGCGAAAGCGUGGGGAGCAAACAGG
This 254-nucleotide ribosomal RNA is filed under the name uncultured bacterium. RNAcentral describes it as "partial 16S ribosomal RNA". It matches the Rfam family "Bacterial small subunit ribosomal RNA", at positions 524 to 776 of the family's 1533-position model. The record is from RNAcentral.